RNAcentral lists this ribosomal RNA (838 nucleotides) under bacterium enrichment culture clone SRB-8. RNAcentral describes it as "bacterial SSU rRNA". It matches the Rfam family "Bacterial small subunit ribosomal RNA", at positions 17 to 832 of the family's 1533-position model. The record is from RNAcentral.
UCCUGGCUCAGAACGAACGCUGGCGGCGUGCUUAACACAUGCAAGUCGAACGUGAAGGGGGCUUCGGUCCCCGGAAAGUGGCGCACGGGUGAGUAACACGUGGAUAAUCUACCCGAUGAUCCGGGAUAACACUUCGAAAGGGGUGCUAAUACCUGAUAAGCCCACGAGCUCUUCGGAGCUUGCGGGAAAAGGUGGGGUACCUUCGGGUCCUACUGUCAUCGGAUGAGCCCGCGUCCCAUUAGCUAGGUGGUGGGGUAAUGGCCUACCAAGGCAACGAUGGGUAGCUGGUCUGAGAGGAUGAUCAGCCACACUGGAACUGAGACACGGUCCAGACUCCUACGGGAGGCAGCAGUGGGGAAUUUUGCGCAAUGGGCGGAAGUCUGACGCAGCAACGCCGCGUGAGUGAUGAAGGUUUUCGGAUCGUAAAGCUCUGUCAGAGGGGAAGAAACUCCCGGGUGUAAAUAACACUUGGACCUGACGGUACCCUCAAAGGAAGCACCGGCUAACUCCGUGCCAGCAGCCGCGGUAAUACGGAGGGUGCAAGCGUUGUUCGGAAUUAUUGGGCGUGAAGCGCGUGUAGGCGGUUGUUUAAGUCUGAUGUGAAAGCCCUGGGCUCAACCCGGGAAGUGCAUUGGAAACUGGGCAACUUGAGUACGGGAGAGGGUAGUGGAAUUCCGAGUGUAGGGGUGAAAUCCGUAGAUAUUCAGAGGAACACCGGUGGCGAAGGCGGCUACCUGGACCGAUAUUGACGCUGAGACGCGAAAGCGUGGGGAGCAAACAGGAAUAGAUACCCUAGUAGUCCACGCCGUAAACGAUGGGCACUAGGUGUUGCGGGUAU